AUUGAACGCUGGCGGCAGGCCUAACACAUGCAAGUCGAACGGUAACAGAAAGCAGCUUGCUGCUUUGCUGACGAGUGGCGGACGGGUGAGUAAUGUCUGGGAAACUGCCCGAUGGAGGGGGAUAACUACUGGAAACGGUAGCUAAUACCGCAUAACGUCGCAAGACCAAAGAGGGGGACCUUCGGGCCUCUUGCCAUCGGAUGUGCCCAGAUGGGAUUAGCUAGUAGGUGGGGUAAAGGCUCACCUAGGCGACGAUCCCUAGCUGGUCUGAGAGGAUGACCAGCCACACUGGAACUGAGACACGGUCCAGACUCCUACGGGAGGCAGCAGUGGGGAAUAUUGCACAAUGGGCGCAAGCCUGAUGCAGCCAUGCCGCGUGUAUGAAGAAGGCCUUCGGGUUGUAAAGUACUUUCAGCGGGGAGGAAGGGAGUAAAGUUAAUACCUUUGCUCAUUGACGUUACCCGCAGAAGAAGCACCGGCUAACUCCGUGCCAGCAGCCGCGGUAAUACGGAGGGUGCAAGCGUUAAUCGGAAUUACUGGGCGUAAAGCGCACGCAGGCGGUUUGUUAAGUCAGAUGUGAAAUCCCCGGGCUCAACCUGGGAACUGCAUCUGAUACUGGCAAGCUUGAGUCUCGUAGAGGGGGGUAGAAUUCCAGGUGUAGCGGUGAAAUGCGUAGAGAUCUGGAGGAAUACCGGUGGCGAAGGCGGCCCCCUGGACGAAGACUGACGCUCAGGUGCGAAAGCGUGGGGAGCAAACAGGAUUAGAUACCCAGGUAGUCCACGCCGUAAACGAUGUCGACUUGGAGGUUGUGCCCUUGAGGCGUGGCUUCCGGAGCUAACGCGUUAAGUCGACCGCCUGGGGAGUACGGCCGCAAGGUUAAAACUCAAAUGAAUUGACGGGGGCCCGCACAAGCGGUGGAGCAUGUGGUUUAAUUCGAUGCAACGCGAAGAACCUUACCUGGUCUUGACAUCCACGGAAGUUUUCAGAGAUGAGAAUGUGCCUUCGGGAACCGUGAGACAGGUGCUGCAUGGCUGUCGUCAGCUCGUGUUGUGAAAUGUUGGGUUAAGUCCCGCAACGAGCGCAACCCUUAUCCUUUGUUGCCAGCGGUCCGGCCGGGAACUCAAAGGAGACUGCCAGUGAUAAACUGGAGGAAGGUGGGGAUGACGUCAAGUCAUCAUGGCCCUUACGACCAGGGCUACACACGUGCUACAAUGGCGCAUACAAAGAGAAGCGACCUCGCGAGAGCAAGCGGACCUCAUAAAGUGCGUCGUAGUCCGGAUUGGAGUCUGCAACUCGACUCCAUGAAGUCGGAAUCGCUAGUAAUCGUGGAUCAGAAUGCCACGGUGAAUACGUUCCCGGGCCU
Molecule: ribosomal RNA, 1363 nt
Filed under: uncultured bacterium
Lineage: Bacteria
Description: bacterial SSU rRNA
Rfam family: Bacterial small subunit ribosomal RNA
Source: RNAcentral